ACAGCAAUAUCAUGUUGAAACAUAAGUUCUCCUACGACCACCAAAGUUAAACAAUGUUGAGCCUGGUUAGUAUCUGGAUGGGUAGGUGUUUGGGAAGACCAGGUGCUGUAA
Non-coding RNA from Acanthosepion pharaonis, 111 nucleotides. The record is from the annotation of a GenBank genome assembly. Lineage: Eukaryota; Metazoa; Mollusca; Cephalopoda; Sepiida; Sepiidae.